GCACCAACCCCUGGGGAACACCACUCGUGACCGGUCGCCAGCUGGAUUUAACUCCAUUCACCACCACUCUCUGGGCCCGGCCCUCCAGCCAGCUCCUUACCCAGCAAAGAGUGUACCCGUCCAAGCCACGUGCUGCCAGCUCCUGCAUUACAACUGCUGCUGAGCGGUCGGCCCGCUCCCACGUUCAGGCUGAGCCGCUGGGCGGGGCGGAGCCGCCGCCAUGAUGGGCAGCAGCGGGGCCGGGGCGGGGCCGGGCCUGAGCGGGGGCUUUUCCGUACCACGUGACGUCAGGCGGACGCCAUAAAGCUGAGGGCAGGGAAGUCGUUGGUUGGCAGCUGUGUUUGGUGCUGUGUUUUCUGCUGUGUUUUCGCCGGUGAACGUCCCUUAGGCAAUACUCCUCCUGCAGAGGUCCAAGGAAGCGCAACGAGGGAAGUCAGGGAGCACCAGGGGAGGACAGAAGGUGAAUGUGUGGAGGCCAGAGGGAGCGUGCUGGUGGAGGCCAGAUGGAGGACGACGGAGGAAGAUGGGAAGCGCAUGCAGAGCUCCGAGGGAACACGCUGGGCGAGGCCAGAGGGAGCGCCAGUGGAAGUCCAAGACAGGAAUGAACCAGGCCCUAUAAAAUGCACUUAGCAAGCUAUCAGAGUCAGCAGAAGAGAUAUCCACCUGUGAAGAAUGGUGACACCGAGUACCAUCAAAACCAGCCUGAAGCCACCUUCAAUUGGGCCAGGAUUUUACUUCAGCAAUUUGAAGAAGCCUUUCCCAUUUAAAUGUUCUCUGAUUCUGUAAAUGAACAAUAUUAUUCAUCUUAGGUCUGUCACAUAAAGAAGAAAAAUGUACAUAUGAGUUUAAUCCCUUUGUUGGUUUAUAACCUCAGAACUCAGGCAGGAGAGUCACAAAUCCAUGUAGACAUCCCCAAGUGCUGACUUUUGCAUUUGGAUUUCUGAUUUAGUUGAAAAAUAUAUAAAAAACCUGUGUAGCCAGACAGCUCCCUAUUGGCUAGACAUCUGUAUAGGC
Molecule: long non-coding RNA, 1014 nt
Filed under: Chrysolophus pictus (golden pheasant)
Lineage: Eukaryota; Metazoa; Chordata; Aves; Galliformes; Phasianidae
Description: lncRNA (ENSCPIG00010004657.1)
Source: RNAcentral